AUAGACAUUCAAUUCUGGAAAGAUUGAAUGUUGAAAGCGCAAGUGCCAGAGGGUGAGUCUGCGGCCUAUCAGGUAGUAGGUGGUGUAACGGACCACCUAGCCUAAGACGGGUACGGGCCUUGAGAGAGGGAGCCCGGAGAUGGGUUCUGAGACACGAACCCAGGCCCUACGGGGCGCAGCAGGCGCGAAACCUUCGCACUGCGCGAAAGCGCGACGAGGGGAGACCGAGUGCCUCUCCUUUUUGGGGAGGCUUUUCGCAAGCCUAAAAAGCUUGUGGAAUAAGGGCUGGGCAAGACGGGUGCCAGCCGCCGCGGUAAUACCCGCAGCUCAAGUGGUGGUCGCUUUUAUUGAGCCUAAAACGUUCGUAGUCGGCCUUGUAAAUCCCUGGGUAAAUCGGGGCGCUUAACGUUCCGAAUUCCGGGGAGACUGCAAGGCUAGGGACCGGGCGAGGUCAGAGGUACUUUCGGGGUAGGAGUGAAAUCCUGUAAUCCCGAAGGGACCACCUGUGGCGAAAGCGUCUGACUUGAACGGCUCCGACGAUGAGGAACGAAGGCUAGGGGAGCAAACCGGAUUAGAUACCCGGGUAGUCCUAGCUGUAAACUCUGCCCGCUUGGUGUGGCUUGUACUUCGGGUGCAGGCUGUGCCGGAGCGAAGGUGUUAAGCGGGCUGCUUGGGGAGUACGGCCGCAAGGUUGAAACUUAAAGGAAUUGGCGGGGGAGCACCGCAACGGGAGGAUGCGUGCGGUUUAAUGGAUCAACGCCGGAA
Molecule: ribosomal RNA, 765 nt
Filed under: uncultured Thermoplasmatales archaeon
Lineage: Archaea; Methanobacteriati; Thermoplasmatota; Thermoplasmata; Thermoplasmatales
Description: bacterial SSU rRNA
Rfam family: Archaeal small subunit ribosomal RNA
Source: RNAcentral